AAUUUAUGAUUUUGUGUGUUAUUUUCUAUAUGAAAUGUUAGUGUAAAGUAAUAUAUACUUGAAAUUUUAACUGUUCAAAUAAUUUCCUAUAAACUUCCUUUAAAAUUGUUUUUCAUAAAACGAUGUGAAAUUUUGUCACUAAAAAAUGAAAAUUGCAAAAUUACAAAAGCCUGAAUUAUGCUUGAAGGUUCGACUCGCAAUCACAUCAAAAACAAUCAUCUUCAUGAUGACGAUGGAUUAUCAAAUAACGAUGAAAUACGUCCGGAUGUAAACGAGUCAAUAUGUUACAUAAUUGUCAGACCAGUUAAUUACCUCACUCCAGCCUGUAUCGUUGCGAUCUUGUUCCCUGGCGAGAUAAUAAAUGACAAAAGAUGAUAUCGAUUUUCAGAAUUAAAACACCGCCGCUGGACCAGAACACAUUCACGCACAAUGGAAACGAGUAUUUAAUUCAGCAAUUUCUAUAUUUUACCAAUUUAUUUCUAUCGUGGUAUUUUUAUUUCAUUGUGCAAAUAAUUCUAUCCAUACUUUUCAUUUAUUACUUACUUUUGCUUGAAUCAUUUUUCAUAACGUCUCUGGUAAUAUUAAGUUAAAAUAUUCUUUUAAAAUAUUAAAAUAUUCUUAUUGUAUAAACCAUAUUACAUGAUCUUCCAAUUUUUUAAUAUUAUUUAUAUUCUUGAAUUUCUUCAAUCUGAACAUGCAUACCCAUCUUUCCUAAGAAUCUGCACAAUUUAAUAUGUCCUUAUCAAUGUUCUGUUUUACCAUCAAAAUCCAUUAAGCUAAGCAGAACAUCCCACUAUCUCAAUAUAUACUAUCUUAACAUUCCAAAAUUCUAAUUAAGAGCUAAAAUUUAUAUUGGUGUUGGCCUUCAACCUAGAUAAUUAUAAACGUAACCCUCAAAAAUGACAAAACUCAAUAUCCUCUCACUAUUCUUCUCAAUUUCAACAUCUUCAACUAUAAAUCUUUCACAAUACACCAAACUAUAUGAAAAAAUACCUCUAUUGCAAUAUCAAUAGUGCUCUGCGGCAAUAUUCUAUAACCUCCCAGGAGUACUCCAUAACCUAACCUAGUGAAAAUGAUUUGCACAGACUGGGGACGCGGGAUCGAUAUCCAGCAACCAACAGUGUCGACAGCCAAGAGAUUCCAUCGAUCGAGGAGGCAAUUAAUUACGGAAGAUGAUCGGUAAUUAACAGUAACUGGAGCUGGAUAACGUUCAUACGGCACGCUAAUACCGAAUAUACGACGCGCCACGGCUGUGGCUGACUCUUUAUGGUGGGGUGUGCUCGUGACGUGAAUUAUUAGCCCUUCGGUCCUCGACACAGCCUCCGGGGAUAGGUUCGUGAACGGGCGUGGCUUAGCCGGCAGGCGUGGCCCGAACGCCACCCUUGAAAAACCACCAGUCACCCUCCCUGCAUCGGGAUACACGGGGCGAAUUGAUUCCGCACGGAUUUUCCCUUUCUUACACGUUCUGCUUUCUUUCUAGACGAAGAUCUGCCUUCCUUUCGUCGGAUUACACGUCGCUUCGCGUGACAUAACCUCUUUUUGGUUCCUGCAAAAAGAUAAAAGUUAGACUAGGAAGCGGAAUAUUUGGUUUAAUUGAUUGUUUUCUAGUAUUUGAGAAUGGCAAAUUAGAGUAAAUCAGCAGGGAAAGUUGGAGAUUGGAGCUUUUGAACGUUUGUGGUGAAAACGGGAAGAAAUUGAUAACUUUCUUCAAGAAUUAGACCUAUACUUCACUAUGAUGUCUAAAACUUGUAUAAAACGAUGAAUGGUCGUCAUAAAACAACAAACCUUAUAUUUAACAAAACCUCCAAACAACAUCCUAUUCUCAUACUAGAGACAGCAGUUUUCGUGUUCGACGAAAUCAUAGCGGAAGUUCCGCUGGUUCUUCGGCAGUUUCCAGCAUCUUCCCCCAGGACGAGCAAGUCGUAUAAGCGGAGGAAGAGCGACGGG
Bombus huntii is the source of this 1947-nucleotide long non-coding RNA. RefSeq lists it as uncharacterized. Lineage: Eukaryota; Metazoa; Arthropoda; Insecta; Hymenoptera; Apidae. The transcript is spliced from 3 exons. The record is from RefSeq and is a predicted model, not a curated record.